RNAcentral lists this ribosomal RNA (253 nucleotides) under uncultured bacterium. RNAcentral describes it as "partial 16S ribosomal RNA". It matches the Rfam family "Bacterial small subunit ribosomal RNA", at positions 524 to 776 of the family's 1533-position model. The record is from RNAcentral.
UACAGAGGUGGCAAGCGGUGUUCGGAAUUACUGGGCGUAAAGGGCGCGUAGGCGGCCCGCCAAGUCCCGUGUGAAAGCCCCCGGCUCAACCGGGGAACGGCGCGGGAAACUAGCAGGCUUGAGUUCGGGAGAGGGAAGCGGAAUUCCGGGUGUAGCGGUGAAAUGCGCAGAUAUCCGGAGGAACACCGGUGGCGAAGGCGGCGCCCUGGACCGGCACUGACGCUGAGGCGCGAAAGCGUGGGGAGCAAACAGG